GACGAACGCUGGCGGCGUGCUUAACACAUGCAAGUCGAACGGAAAGGCCCUGCUUUUGUGGGGUGCUCGAGUGGCGAACGGGUGAGUAACACGUGAGUAACCUGCCCUUGACUUUGGGAUAACUUCAGGAAACUGGGGCUAAUACCGGAUAGGAGCUCCUGCUGCAUGGUGGGGGUUGGAAAGUUUCGGCGGUUGGGGAUGGACUCGCGGCUUAUCAGCUUGUUGGUGAAGUAGUGGCUUACCAAGUCUUUGACGGGUAGCCGGCCUGAGAGGGGUGACGGCGUCCAGACUCCUGCGGGAGGCCGCAGUAGCGUACGGUCCGCAACGGGGGAGAGUUUGACGGAGUGGCGCGGCGUGUGAGGCGGCGGUGUCGGGUGCGUAAUGACCGGUUACUGGUGAUGAACAAAUGUGGAAGGAAAUGUGGCGUGAGUGACGGUAAUGGGUAAGAAAGCACCGGCUAACUACGUG
This 468-nucleotide ribosomal RNA is filed under the name uncultured bacterium. RNAcentral's name for it is "partial 16S ribosomal RNA". It matches the Rfam family "Bacterial small subunit ribosomal RNA", at positions 28 to 507 of the family's 1533-position model. The record is from RNAcentral.